RNAcentral lists this long non-coding RNA (377 nucleotides) under Mus musculus (house mouse). Its description in RNAcentral is "predicted gene, 32139, transcript variant 2 (Gm32139)". Lineage: Eukaryota; Metazoa; Chordata; Mammalia; Rodentia; Muridae. The record is from RNAcentral.
GGGCUUCCCGGGUCCCCCUGGCGGGGGCGGAGGGCUUUCCCCGGGAGCGCCCGCUCACAUUUGCACGUUCUCCCGAACAUGAGGGGCUGGCGCCCCUGGCCGCCAGGUCCGGGGCUCUGACGCUCAGGCGGUCCAGCAGCCUGAGUGGACCUGCAGUACAGACACAAAGCAAAGGCGGGUCACGAAUGCGCAGACGCCAAGCAUCCUUAUCGAGACCAGACUGCAGUGGCUGGGUGAGGGGCCUGGUAGUCAUCUGACUGCCAAUUAAUACCGUGGCGACGACUCGACUGAAUAAUCGCCGCCCUUGGACAGGGUGUUUAAACUUAGCUAUACUGACUAAUCGCUCUCUAAUAAACCACUAAAAGUUACACUUUGAA